This 268-nucleotide long non-coding RNA is filed under the name Capsicum annuum. Its description in RNAcentral is "long non-coding RNA (CANN_LNC006808)". Lineage: Eukaryota; Viridiplantae; Streptophyta; Magnoliopsida; Solanales; Solanaceae. The record is from RNAcentral.
GCCAAUUUUAAUCAUGCUUUGAAUCUUGAAUUUUAGUUCUGGACAAUCUUUAGUGUCAUGUCCUUGAAUGUUUGAAUAUUAGGCACAACUUUUGGAUAAAUCAAAGUUUGCGGAUGGAUACUUAGGUAUGAAUCCCUUUCUGUGUUGCAAAAGUCCCUCAGUUCUCAAUCUCUCAAAUAUAUCCAUCAAUGAAUCAUCUAGAGGAGUGAAGGAGAAAGAUUUUAUCUUCUUCUGUGGCGCGAAGUAUAUUGCCCUUGGUGACACUGUU